GAUGAACGCUGGCGGCGUGCCUAAUACAUGCAAGUCGAGCGAACGGACGAGAAGCUUGCUUCUCUGAUGUUAGCGGCGGACGGGUGAGUAACACGUGGAUAACCUACCUAUAAGACUGGGAUAACUUCGGGAAACCGGAGCUAAUACCGGCUAAUCUUUUGAACCGCAUGGUUCAAAAGUGAAAGACGGUCUUGCUGUCACUUAUAGAUGGAUCCGCGCUGCAUUAGCUAGUUGGUAAGGUAACGGCUUACCAAGGCAACGAUGCAUAGCCGACCUGAGAGGGUGAUCGGCCACACUGGAACUGAGACACGGUCCAGACUCCUACGGGAGGCAGCAGUAGGGAAUCUUCCGCAAUGGGCGAAAGCCUGACGGAGCAACGCCGCGUGAGUGAUGAAGGUCUUCGGAUCGUAAAACUCUGUUAGUAGGGAAGAACAUAUGUGUAAGUAACUGUGCACAUAUUGACGGUACCUAAUCAGAAAGCCACGGCUAACUACGUG
Molecule: ribosomal RNA, 497 nt
Filed under: uncultured bacterium
Lineage: Bacteria
Description: partial 16S ribosomal RNA
Rfam family: Bacterial small subunit ribosomal RNA
Source: RNAcentral